This 28-nucleotide small RNA is filed under the name Bombyx mori (domestic silkworm). Its description in RNAcentral is "ovarian small RNA-9492". The record is from RNAcentral. Lineage: Eukaryota; Metazoa; Arthropoda; Insecta; Lepidoptera; Bombycidae.
UUCAACUGACUGAUGGUCUCCGGAGGGU